UGGCACUUUUUAAUCCAUAUCCACCUUGUGUGCAAUGUCGGCCGAUCUUUCUUUUUUGGAAGAUCAGCCAAACAUCAACUUAUUUUUUUAACUCUUUGUCUGAAAAAUAUUAUGAAUAAACAAUUCAAAAUACAACUUUCAACAACGGAUCUCUUGGCUCUCGCAUCGAUGAAGAACGCAGCGAAAUGCGAUACGUAAUGUGAAUUGCAGAAUUCAGUGAAUCAUCGAAUCUUUGAACGCAUAUUGCGCUCUUUGGUAUUCCGAAGAGCAUGCUUGUUUGAGUAUCAGUAAACACCUCAAAACUUUUGAUUUAUUUUGAAAGCUUUGGACUUGAGCGAUCCCAACACCAAUCUUUUAAGAUCGGCGGCGGGUUGCUCGAAAUGCAGGUGCAGCUGGACAUUCUCCUGAGCUAAAAGCAUAUUUACUUAGUCCCGUCAAACGGAUUAUUACUUUUGCUGCAGCUAAUAUAAAGGGAGUCUGACCGUUUUGGCUGACUGAUGCAGGAUUUCACAAGGGUCGGCAACGAUUCUUGUUAAACUCGAUCUCAAAUCAAGUAAGACUACCCGCUGAACUUAAGCAUAUCAAUA
This 587-nucleotide ribosomal RNA is filed under the name uncultured Ascomycota. RNAcentral's name for it is "eukaryotic LSU rRNA". The stretch from base 134 to 287 matches the Rfam family "5.8S ribosomal RNA". Lineage: Eukaryota; Fungi; Ascomycota. The record is from RNAcentral.